RNAcentral lists this ribosomal RNA (406 nucleotides) under uncultured bacterium. RNAcentral describes it as "partial 16S ribosomal RNA". It matches the Rfam family "Bacterial small subunit ribosomal RNA", at positions 30 to 526 of the family's 1533-position model. The record is from RNAcentral.
AUUGAACGCUGGCGGCAGGCCUAACACAUGCAAGUCGAACGAGUGGCGGACGGGUUAGUAAUGUCUGGGACACUGCCUGAUGGAGGGGGAUAACUAAUGGAAACGGUAACUACUACCGCAUACCAUCGGAUGUGCCCAGAUGGGAUUAGCUAGUAGGUGGGGCAAAGGCACACCUAGGCGACGAUCCCUAGCUGGUCUGAGAGGAUGACCAGCCACACUGGAACUGAGACACGGUCCAGACUCCUACGGGAGGCAGCAGUGGGGAAUAUUGGACAAUGGGCGAAAGCCUGAUCCAGCCAUGCCGCGUGUGUGAAGAAGGUCUGCGGAUUGUAAAGCACUUUAAGUUGGGAGGCGUUACCAACAGAAUAAGCACCGGCUAACUUCGUGCCAGCCGCCGCGGUAAUAC